Molecule: long non-coding RNA, 3390 nt
Filed under: Salmo salar (Atlantic salmon)
Lineage: Eukaryota; Metazoa; Chordata; Actinopteri; Salmoniformes; Salmonidae
Description: lncRNA (ENSSSAG00000114278.1)
Source: RNAcentral
GUUGCAUGGUAGCAUAUAGCUUGAUAGCUCUUUUGGUAUGUGCAUGCAAUUUGGUGGCUGGGGUCGUGUAAUUUUCAUAUUGCAGGCUGGCUGGUAGCUGGAAGUAGCUUUAUUGGGAAUGUACAGGUGUAAAUCCUGCCAUUUCUGUUUCCUAAAUAUUAAAGCAUUCAUUACUCAUGCAAAAAAAACAUAGAAAUGUGGCGAACUACAGUUUUGCUUGUGGGGUAGAGUGCCCUUGCGCCAAAGCAUCACUACUUGUUACACUUGGGCAACUCAUUCGUUUGUGGACACCGAGGUUCGAGAGCAAGCACUCCUACUUCAAGGAGUGUGCCAGAAAACUUGUCUGAGAAGCACCGGUUACUCCAAUCUUACUUAUGCAGCGGCCAAUUGUUUCCACAUAGCAUUGAAGUUGUUGGUGUCAUGAAUUAAUUUGAGGAGCAAUUAUAUAACAACGUCAUUCAGGGAGCUGGACAGUCAAAAGGGUUCACAAAGCAAAGCAUUGCAGAGGUGUCUAAAAUGGUAUACAAAGUAACAACAUACACUGAAGGCCUUGUUGUAAUGGGAGAAAAUGAUGACGGAUACACAUUUGGAAAGAUCUCACUGAUUCUGGUCACAGAAUCACAGGUCUAUUUAAUCGUUGGCGUGUAUCACUCUGUGUCACUGGUUGAUCUCAGGGUUCAUUUUAUACCAGAUUCUCUGAUUAAUUAUGUGUGUGUUAAUGCAGAUAGUCUGAGUGAUUAUUACCCAUUACCAGUUUAUAAAGUGUUAGGUUUCUCUGUUGUUUCUUUGCAUCACUCAGUGAGUUCUCCUUAAACCAGUGUAGGCAUAGAGGGUCUUCAAGAUGCAAUAAACACCAAAUGCCCGAGUUGGAGACCGAGACGGUGAGAUCUUUGUCAGAGCAUCUGAGGGCAAAUGUUGGAGUGGAGAAUAUUAAAGACCUUGAAUAUGUUCAGCCCGGAGGACAUAAAAGACCAUUUGACGCCAAUAUAGUGCCGGGAAUUGCUUCAGUCCUUCAACCAAAGAGCUAAAAGACCAAGCUGAGGAGAGAGAUCCAGUGCCUGCUGAAUGAAAUCGACAUCAGAGGCAAUGACGAUCACUGCUGCCAUUCUUUUGUUGAUGACCCACUUCAAAGAGAAGGACGAAUCUCUGUUCCUCUUGGAAGAUGUCAUUGUAACUCAGGUUGAUGUCGAGGCGCAAAUUCCUUUGCCAUACACACCAAGGCUGAUCAUGCUUGGAAAUACUCUAUUAUAUUCCUCAAAAUGGAUGGUGUCGAUCGAGGGGAGAGUGCUCUGUGUUUUGGACAGUGAGUCCAACUUUGCUGCUGCCCUUUCUGUGCUCUUCAGCACGUUCAAUGUUUUUAACAUAGAAUACCAGGAGUUGGCCUCUGCAACCUUGGGGCUGAUACAGAGGUAAGCAUUGAACAUUCAUUGAUCCAACACUUACAUUUAGCAUUUGUUAGUUACAUUGCAAUGAUAUUUCUUAUUGUUAUUUUUUUCAAUGCCUCAACUGAUUUAAUAUAUUCUAUGUUGGGUUGUGCAGGUUCCUGGUUUGAGUAAACCCUGAAGGAACCAAAUGCACAGCGAAAGCAAGAGUGAGCCGCAAGACCGUAAAGGUCAUUCAGAGGAAGCCAUUGCCAAUUAACCCACAUGUUAGACACUUUCUCGCAGACCUGAAGGAGUUCGAGUGUAAAAACAGACACACCUGAUGAACACAAACUUUGUCAGUUGUCAUCUGCCUUUUUACCCAGCGAGUAAUAGUAAUUGUAAUAGUAGUAGUGAUAGUAAUAGUAAUAGUAGUAGUCAUAGUAGUAGUGAUAGUAAUAGUAGUAGUAAUAGUAGUAGUGAUAGUAAUAGUCAUAGUAGUAGUAAUAGUAGUAGUGAUAGUAAUAGUAGUAGUAAUAGUAGUAGUAAUAGUGAUAGUAAUAGUCAUAGUAGUAGUAAUAGUAGUAGUCAUAGUAGUAGUGAUAGUAAUAGUAGUAGUCAUAGUAAUAGUAGUAGUGAUAGUAAUAUUGAUAGUAGUAGUGAUAGUCAUAGUAAUAGUAGUAGUGAUAGUAAUAGUAGUAGUCAUAGUAAUAGUAGUAGUGAUAGUAGUAGUGAUAGUAAUAGUAGUAGUGAUAGUAGUAGUCAUGGUAAUAGUAGUAGUAAUAGUAGUGGUUAUAGUAGUAGUCAUGGUAAUAGUAGUAGUCAUAGUAAUAGUAGUAGUGAUAGUAAUAGUAGUAGUCAUAGUGAUAGUAAUAGUGAUAGUAGUAGUGAUAGUAGUAGUAGUAGUAAUAGUAGUAGUAGUAGUGAUAAUAAUAGUAGUAGUCAUGGUAAUAGUAGUAGUAAUAGUGAUAGUGAUAGUAGUAGUCAUGGUAAUAGUAGUAGUAAUAGGGAUAGUAGUAGUAAUAGGGAUAGUAGUAGUAAUAGUAGUAGUGAUAGUAAUAGUAGUAGUGAUAAUAGUAGUCAUGGUAAUAGUAGUAGUGAUUGUAAUAGUAGUAGUGAUAGUAGUAGUAGCAGUAGUUGUAGUAGUCGUAGUGAUAGUAAUAGUAGUGAUAGUAGUAGUAAUAGUAGUAGUCAUAGUAGUAGUCGUCAUAGUAGUAGUGAUAGUAGUAGUAAUAGUAGUCAUAGUAAUAGUAGUAGUGAUAGUAGUAGUCAUAGUAACGGUAAUAGUAGUAGUAAUAGUAGUCAUAGUAUUAGUCAUAGUAAUAGCAAUCUCUAUCUUUCUAUGUCCAUGUUUGUCCUAGUUGACGUAUCAGAGCUAAGGAGGAUCAGUUUCAAAGAUUGGGGUGAUAAUCUGCACGCCACCGAGAUUUAUUCGAGACUUAUUUGCGUCUCUCAUUUUCUCAGAAAUCCUUCCAUGUGGCUUGGGUCAGCAAAUGAUCUGCUUGCGCCAUCCCGGAGCCUGUGUUGGCUUGUGGUAGCGUGCUUCUCUGGCUCCAGUCUAGCCCUGCUCGCUCCUCUCUAUCCAUCCUUCUCUCUCAGCCCCUUUCUCUCUCGAUCUCUCUCUUGUUUCUCUCUCAAAGACAGGCAGGCAAGCAGUUAUUGUUAUAGUUUUUUGUAAAAAAUGUUCCCUGUUCAACUGUUCUUUUCCUAUUUUUCAUUGAUCUGUUUAGAUUUUAUUUUUUUCUUACAUAAUCCUGUAUUUUCAAGAAUUACCUUGUUACGUUCCCCAGUUUCUGUGUUGUAGUUUGUGUUUCAAGUAAUGGCUUCCUGAAGUUCUCCAAGCAGCUGAUUGGUCGGCCCCAUUGCUGAUUGGAGAGCUGACCCGCCCCCUCGUCAGGACGCAGCUGUCUCCAAUUAACAACCCCACCUAAAGCUAUAUAAGCCAGUGUGCUGUUGCUCAGAGGAGGAGACACACAGAUGAUGACAGAGAGAUAUUUGCUGGGAGACACAGAUAAUGGCUGAGAGUUAG